UGAGGAAUAUUGGUCAAUGGACGGAAGUCUGAACCAGCCAAGUAGCGUGCAGGAUGACGGCCCUAUGGGUUGUAAACUGCUUUUAUACGGGGAUAAAGUUAGGGACGUGUCCCUAUUUGCAGGUACCGUAUGAAUAAGGACCGGCUAAUUCCGUGCCAGCAGCCGCGGUAAUACGUAGGUGGCGAGCGUUAUCCGGAUUUACUGGGUGUAAAGGGCGUGCAGGCGGGCUGAUAAGUCAGAUGUGAAAUCCCCGAGCUUAACUCGGGAACUGCAUCUGAUACUGUUGGUCUUGAGUGCUGGAGAGGAUAGUGGAAUUCCUAGUGUAGCGGUAAAAUGCGCAGAUAUUAGGAGGAAAACCAGUGGCGAAGGCGGCUAUCUGGACAGUAACUGACGCUGAGGCGCGAAAGCGUGGGUAGCAAACAGG
This 424-nucleotide ribosomal RNA is filed under the name Verrucomicrobiota bacterium. RNAcentral's name for it is "Verrucomicrobia bacterium partial 16S ribosomal RNA". It matches the Rfam family "Bacterial small subunit ribosomal RNA", at positions 355 to 776 of the family's 1533-position model. The record is from RNAcentral. Lineage: Bacteria; Pseudomonadati; Verrucomicrobiota.